Molecule: long non-coding RNA, 3076 nt
Organism: Lytechinus pictus (painted urchin)
Lineage: Eukaryota; Metazoa; Echinodermata; Echinoidea; Temnopleuroida; Toxopneustidae
Exons: 2
Source: RefSeq, a predicted model, not a curated record
AUCAAUAAUGAAGCAUAGGGUUUACACAGCGCGCAACGUGCGAUAGCAAUAUAUAUCAAGCGGUGUAUAUUUAUGAUUAUUAUCCCUCUCGCUCGCUUGCCGUCGUCGUGUUCGUGUACGGAAAGCGCGCCGCCAGGAGAUCGAGAAUGAGGAUACACCAUUGUACUCCAACAUCAUCAUCAGUGCAUAUAAUACGUAUGUGCCGAGUGCUUGUAUUCUUCUGCGGGUGAAAAGUGUAAUAUACUUGGGAUAUACUUGACUAUAUGCUGCAGUGGAUUUCCUGUUUGCUGUGCGAACACGACGGAGGCAAUCCUUUGUUAGUUAUGAACAAAUAAAACCGAACACGCCUGCUUCCUAUUUUGAUUUCUCAAGUCUAAUACGUGUACACACUACACGAUGAUACCAGUGAAACUCCUCUGCUACUCCGCGAUAACGCUAUGCUUCAACGGCGCUGUCCUGCGCCGGUACCUCCGGGAGGAGCUACGCCUGGCGUUCCCAUACACCUUCCUCGUGCUUCUGCCAACGAUUGCCCAGCCAUUUUGCCAGUUAUUUCUCGGUGGAUUUUGCGGAGUAACAGUUUUUGCCGUAGCUUGUUAUUACCUCUUUAGGAAUUUACCGCAACAAUGGCUGGAUCCAAGAGGAAAAGCAAUAUUUGUUACAGCCGAUGUGCAGCACCAGAUCGACGAGGCUCGAGAUCCCUGAAAUGUUGAACGCCGAACAGGGUAGCAGCAACUCCCAUCUUUUAACGUCUUCCGGUCUGACGCGGUCGGGGUUUGAACUCCCGACCUCCAGGUUGUGAGACGGACGCUCUACCAACUGAGCCAACACACCGGCUAAUAAUAAUGAUGAUGAUGAUGAUGAUGAUAAUAAUAAUAAUAAUGAUAAUAAUAAUAACUAAUAACAAUAGAAAUAAUAAUAAUGGUAUGUAGAAGAAUAUAUAAAUGUGUAAAAAAAAAAAAAAAAAAAGUUGUUGACGUUAUUUCAUUUCAUGAUAUUCAAGAAUCAUUCAUUAAUUUGGCAUUGAAAUAUUAGGGAAAUGAUGAAUUCUUAUCAUUUUUUUUUACUUCAACCUUAAACCUCCUAUACCAGCACAACUAUUAAUAGGCCUAUAGAUGGUAGAGAUAAAGCCAAUAACGCAGGUGCAUAUCCGAGUGUUAAAUUUUAUAGACCUAUGUAAAGUAGACACGAAGCCUAUUUCACUUUCGUAUAUAUGUAACCAAAUUGUGGCAAAGAGCAACCUGUACAAGGAAUAAGUUAACAUGAUUGGGUAAGCCAUUGACCAUGCUAGCAACGGACGGGCAGCGAAUUUCAAUGGGGGGAGGGGGGGGGGUGAAUAUUCAUAAAAUCACAAUUUGAUGAUGGUAAUUCUCACGUUUUUGUGCGUGGUCAAUGAGAAAAAAAAAGAAUAUUUUGUUUGGGGGUGUGGUAAAGGAUUUGUUUGUUUUGUUUUGUUGAUGUUGUGUUUUGUUUUCGUGUGUGCUUUAUAUAUAAAAUCUUUAUUCAGAUUAUUGUAUACUUUCUAAGAAUAAACAGAGACUUUUUUUGUAUUGUCUUACAAAAGUUGGAGGCAUGGAUAUACAUGUAUAAGUACCUUUUUUAUUAUGGGAUAACCUCUUCACUUUAAAAGUCUUUACUUUUCUCAUACAAUACGGUAUUAUUAUACAGUAAAUACAUGUGAAAUUACGAGGUUUUUGUUAUUGGUAUUAUGGGUUAUGAUAUUUGUUCGAAAAAUUUAUAUCAAAAUGUAUAUUAUUUCAUUUGUUAUAUUGCUGUAUACGUGUGCUUCACUUUAAUUUGUAUACUGUACAUGUAUUUGAUUUAUUACCCUUGUAUGUAUGAAAAAUGUGAUAGUAUCUGAAUAAAGGCUAAAAAAGCAACAACAACAAAAGAAAAAAAGUGUGUGAAGUAGUAGGGAGAGCUUCCCAUCCCCCGUUCCGCGGCUUCUGAUUAGAAUAUGAGAUAGAGAAGUUUACUUAGUUCACCUGAUUGUUGUGCAACACAGGGAACCAUAUCAUAAACCACUUACAAAAUUAGAGCGUGCGCAGUUCCCCGAAUUUUUAUAUUUCCAGUAAUCAGGUCAAUAUGUUAUUCAUAAAAAGCAUGAUUCUCUCUGAAAGAUCGUAUAUAUACACACAGCUUUAUCUGGAUCAGAAAUGUACAAAAUGGACUUUGUUAAUUAUGGUAUACUUUUGCCUAUAUCCUAUGAUAAGGCCUAUAAUUUGCAGUCUUGAGAAGCCUUAUGGAUUCUUAUUAUUGUAGUAUUUUAUGUUAAAGUAUGAUAUGCACGGGCGGCGAUCCUGGUGAGGGGAGGGGGCGUGCCCCCUCUCGAAUUUCGAAUUUGAUCCGCCUUGAGGGCCCCAAAAUAUUAUGAAAUCGGCGCGCAAGAUGAUAACAGUAUGUAUGCCGAUAAACAUGAGGAAGACCUAUAGGAAGAAAAUGCAUAUUUUACACAUAAAAGAAGUUAAAAAUUUGCAGUCAAACUUUGCCUAAACAAUUAUCCAAGAUAUGCAGACGUUGAUCGUCAUUAAAAAUGUGGUGUAGUGCAUGUUAUCAACUACUUCACAUAUCUCGUGCACUUCCUUGUAAUCCCCAUCAUGUAUUUGUUUUCACUAUCUUAUAUUUGGCUAAAUUUGAAUUUUAGAUUGCAGGACGAGGAAGUAAUUACUUAGUUUAUAUAUAUUUAUAAAUAUGCUCGAAGAUGAAAUAGUAAUUAUAUUACUUUAGGGCCUACAUUUCAUAUGAUGCAUAUGAUUUGUAUAAUAAUGUAUAUAUUACAUAAUGUAAAUAUUGUUAUUUGUUUGUUUGUUUGUUUGUUUUUACAAAAGAGCAAUUCAGUUGCUAUAAACACGUAAUUACAGCAUUAGGGGGGGGGCCUACAUUAUACAAGCUCUGCUUAUCAGUUGGCCCUCCCUCCCUUUCAAUUAUUUAUAUUUCGAUUUGAUAAUUGUCUAUUGUAAUUUUAUAAUGUUAUCAAUUUUUUGUAUGUACUUCAAAUGUGAUUAUAUGUUACUAUGUCAAUCGUAUCAAAAAUUGUAAAUAUGAAAUUGAAAGUGGAAAAUAAAAUGAUUGAAUUGAA